RNAcentral lists this ribosomal RNA (491 nucleotides) under uncultured bacterium. Its description in RNAcentral is "partial 16S ribosomal RNA". It matches the Rfam family "Bacterial small subunit ribosomal RNA", at positions 29 to 506 of the family's 1533-position model. The record is from RNAcentral.
AGUGAACGCUGGCGGUAGGCCUAACACAUGCAAGUCGAACGGCAGCACAGUAAGAGCUUGCUCUUACGGGUGGCGAGUGGCGGGCGGGUGAGGAAUACAUCGGAAUCUACUUUUUCGUGGGGGAUAACGUAGGGAAACUUACGCUAAUACCGCAUACGACCUACGGGUGAAAGCAGGGGAUCUUCGGACCUUGCGCGAUUGAAUGAGCCGAUGUAGGAUUAGCUAGUUGGCGGGGUAAGGGCCCACCAAGGCGACGAUCCGUAGCUGGUCUGAGAGGAUGAUCAGCCACACUGGAACUGAGACACGGUCCAGACUCCUACGGGAGGCAGCAGUGGGGAAUCUUGGACAAUGGGCGCAAGCCUGAUCCAGCCAUACCGCGUGGGUGAAGAAGGCCUUCGGGUUGUAAAGCCCUUUUGUUGGGAAAGAAAAGCAGCAGGUUAAUACCCCGCUGUUCUGACGGUACCCAAAGAAUAAGCACCGGCUAACUUCGU